RNAcentral lists this ribosomal RNA (253 nucleotides) under uncultured bacterium. Its description in RNAcentral is "partial 16S ribosomal RNA". It matches the Rfam family "Bacterial small subunit ribosomal RNA", at positions 524 to 776 of the family's 1533-position model. The record is from RNAcentral.
UACGGAGGGGGCUAGCGUUGUUCGGAAUCACUGGGCGUAAAGGGUGCGUAGGCGGGUCUUUAAGUCAGGGGUGAAAUCCUGGAGCUCAACUCCAGAACUGCCUUUGAUACUGAGGAUCUUGAGUUCGGGAGAGGUGAGUGGAACUACGAGUGUAGAGGUGAAAUUCGUAGAUAUUCGCAAGAACACCAGUGGCGAAGGCGGCUCACUGGCCCGAUACUGACGCUGAGGCACGAAAGCGUGGGGAGCAAACAGG